Molecule: long non-coding RNA, 3418 nt
Filed under: Marmota monax (woodchuck)
Lineage: Eukaryota; Metazoa; Chordata; Mammalia; Rodentia; Sciuridae
Source: RNAcentral
UAGGGUAAGUUCUGACCUCUGGCCCAUGACAGAUCUGACUAUCUGCAGUGAUGCUUUUGUAUUUUCAUCUGCUCCCUGCCCAUUUGCUCGGUGAAGUGUCCUGUAAUCCGAGGCUGCCUUAAUUUAGUCUUUCUGUAUUUGUUUAAAGUGUGGUAUGUUACUUGCACCUUAUAAAUGUUAGUAAUUAAGACUGUAAUAAAAUAACCUGUGAUCACCUGGCUCAUGACUACCAAAUGACUGACCCACGAGUAUUCAGUGAAUUGAAACCUAUGAAGGUGUGAGUUUAUUGUUAUUCAGUAAAUUCUGACAUUGUAGAAAGACACAAGUGGUGUCUGACCUAUGCUGACUGCAUAACUAGGUCAAGACAACCUCCUACACCGGGUCGGUUGCUCUGAAGUCACUUUCCUUCUUCAGGGUUGAGCUGGGAUCCUUGGCAGGCUGACUCUCGGAAAAGCAGCCUUCCCAAUUCCAGGAGGAGUGUCCAGGGCUGGGCUCUGCCAAGCUAAGAGCAGCCUCUAGAGGGCCGGACCCAGGGCCCUACGCCAGAGUGACUAAGGACUCCUCCGGGCUCAGCUUCCGUGACCACCGACUUGAAGCCCUCCAGAUGUCCUAGAGCGGCGCCCCGGAGGUGGGGGGCAGGGAGCAGCUGCUUCCGGGGGCUCAGGACUGGGGGCAGGGACGGACACUCCCGGAGGGUGUACCUCCCGGCGCAAGCAGAGCGCGCAGCCAGUUUGGAGCCUUCGGGCUCCAGCUCUGGGAAGAAUGUGAGGCGCUCAGAAAGACGGGCCAGGGAAGGGCUGGGGCGGUGCUCGCGGUCUCGGGAGCCCGGGAGGGGGGCUAGACUAGCUCUAGGCAGUCCGAAGGUUCCUUAGCAGAUGGAUGGUUUAGCCAGUAUUUUCACCCUCCUUUUGUCUUUUUUAACCCCUCCCAGCAGUGGGAGUAAAACUCCUUGUCUCCGCCUCUGCCACGGAGCUACAUUCCCAGCUGUUUUUACUUUCUGGAUGGUACUGUUUGCAGCACAGAAGUUCUUGAUAUUGAUGUAAAUUGUACAUAUUGUGUACAUACUUAUUAUAGCUUAUGUAAUGUACACAAUUAUGUUAAAAGUACGUAUGUUAUGAGUGGUCUGAAAUGGAGAAAUCUAGCCCAUCAACGUGCAUGAUCUCACUGUGAGGUGAGAACACCCUAACAUCCAUUCUGGCAGUUUUUUUUUUUUUUUAAUAUUUAUUUUUUUUUAGUUUUCGGGGGUGACAACAUCUUUGUUUGUAUGUGGUGCUAAGGAUCAACCCAGGCCGCACGCAUGCCAGGCGAGCGCGCUACCGCUUGAGCCACAUCCCCAGCCCCAUUCUGGCAGUUUUUAAGAACACAAUACAUUGUUAACAGUAGUCACCAGGUUGUACAACAGACCUCUCCAGUUUUCCUCCUAACUGGAACUUUGUAUCCUUUUACUAAUUUCUUCCUAAACCUUUUAGUUUGAACUAAUUUCAAAUUUAUAGAACAGUUGUAAUAAAGCAGAAAAUUCUCAAAUAACUAUUCAGAUUCACCAGUUUUUUUUUUCUUUUUUUUUCUUGGAGGGGUUACUGUAAGAUCCUUACAUUGAUGCCCAAACCUGGGACGGGGGAUCUCCCUGUCACCCAAGGCAGAACCGGCUCCCAAACUCUGAGCCCAACUGUUCCUGUCGUAGUCCACUCCUCUGAUCACCUGCCUGACAUCCACCACUGACUCGCGGAUCGGUGAGUUCCCCCAUCCCAUGAGCGCCUGAACCCUAACUCACCAGAAUGAGGGAAUUGACCGAUGAGUGUCCGGCAAUCCCUCCGGGAGUUUUAGGGGUAAAUGCACCCCACUCAGACCCGUAUCUCUAUCAAAGGGUAAUAAGGCCCACUGCCCACCAGUCUCAAGGCAUCACUUUUAUGUGGGACAACUGUAUACCGCUGUCUGCCCCCUGACUGGAAACAUGCACAUGUAUUCUUGUUCUCCUGUUUCCCUAUAAAGACAGUUCCAGGAGAUACAGAAAUACCAAUCCCUCUCAUGACACACAUAAGACCCAAAAGGGCGAUCCAAUUCAUACCUCUCCUCACUACUUUAGGAAUUACAGCAGGCUUGCCAAUGGGUACAGCAGGUUUGACUACCUCCCUCACAUACUAUAAUCAAUUGUCCAAAUCAUUCAUAGAUGACCUCCAACAGGUGAUUGAGCCCAUACUUACCCUCCAAAAUCAAUUAGAUUUCUUUGCAGCAGUAGUCCUACAAAACCACCAAGGCUUAGAUCUACUCACAGUGGAAAAAGGAGGCCUCUGCCCAUUCUUACAGAAAGAAUGUUGUUUUAUGUUAAUCAGUCAGGGAUAGUGAAAGAUAAGAUUAAAAAACUACAGGAACAACUAGAAAAAAGAAGGCUGCAAUUGGUACAACAAUCCUAUUGGGACCUCUUCACAAACCCCUUAUCUGCUGGAGUCUCCCGAUGCUAGGACCUCUAGUUGGGGUCUUUUUAUUCUGUGUCUUCCUUCUUUGCAUUUUAAAUUCCUUCAAGGACAAAUUAACAAAAUCUCUAACCAAACUUUCAAUCAGUUCCUCCUCAGGGAUUACCAGCUACUUGCCAAUGAGCUGGACAACACUUAUGUCUACUCAUACUGAAAAGCCUCCACCAAGUGCUGAAAGACGAAGAUACCAAAUGACAACUCCACCGAAGGGCCAUCUCUACCCCACCAUUCCAAAGAAAUAAGCCCUUGGUUUUUAGCCAUAUAUGUUCUAACCUGCCUUCUCCUGAGCAUAGGUCUUUUUAUCUACCAGCCCUGGAUGACAUGGAUGACAUGCCAGAAAUUAAUGCUGUCUCUUUUGUUCCUUUUCGUAGCUGCAGAUUUGUGGCUUGCACUGUACCUCUGAUCCUCCUCUUAAUGAAGAUGACACCUGUUACCCUCUGAUGCAUGCAAUUCUUACAAGCCCUAGGGGAAGAUAGUUGGCUUAUCUCUCCCCCUGGGCCACCCCAAUGAAUGGCUCAUUAUAUCCAACAAUUUGUGGUUGCAGGGCACGUUCAUGGACUUCUCCCCGGAGGAAAUCCAUGCUUUCAGCACAUGGAUGUGGGGCCUCCUGGCCCUCCUUCUCCAACCAACUGACCUCCCUCCCUCUAAACAACACCCCUACUUAGCAGGAAGAAGCCAGAACUAGUAUGAUGCCCCCAAACCAAAACAAAAAAGGGAGGAAUGUUGGUAAAGAUGGCGCCCGAAGUGCAUCUCUUCCGGGAGUUCAGGUCCAUGAUGCACUGAAUGGCGUGAACUACCACCUAAGUGGCACAAACCAUCACCUCCAAUCCCUGAAAUGGCGCAAACUGUGACCUCCCACCCCUAGGAGACUAAUACCCUGUCCUGCCCAGAAAUGGACCCUUGGUCAAUAAAGAAGUAAGAGCCAACUCCCCAUGCUCAUUCUCUCU